Molecule: long non-coding RNA, 1038 nt
Filed under: Macaca fascicularis (crab-eating macaque)
Lineage: Eukaryota; Metazoa; Chordata; Mammalia; Primates; Cercopithecidae
Description: lncRNA (ENSMFAG00000048669.1)
Source: RNAcentral
AUGGCGACAGACGGCAUUCUAGAGCUUUCCGGAGCUCAUUAUGCAGCCCCUCCUGCCUGCCACCGCGGAGCCCUCGCCCCAGAUGGGAGCUGGGCUCAGGGUCCUGCUGGACGGGCACAUGGACCGAGGUCCGCGGAAGCCGCCUGCCUCCACUUGCAUCCUGCCUGUGACUCUGGUCACCCAGACGCUGUUCACUCAGGCUCUGCAGCAGGCGCUGGGCUGAAUACUCUGCCGUGUGAACGAGGGGGUUUCGCAUCCCAGGGGCUGCUUGAGGGGCAACAGCCUCACAGAAGGGCCACACACAGAGUGCCGGGAGGCAGGACGGGAAGGCCCUGCCUGGAGUCAGGCACACGAGGGCCACAGUGGCGGCAUGAUUUUGCCCACCUGAGACUCAAGGACUGGGAGUUGCCGGCCCAUGUACACACACGUCUGGACACCUGUCCCCCCUCCUCCACCCACGCUGCGGGGAACUGCACGGCUCCAUCGGGCGGGGACCUUAGCUUUCCGCCUCGACAUACCUGGGGCCUGGCAUGCUGCGUUGAAGCGGCUGGAGCUAUCCAACUGCUGAAACUGCUGCAGGUGCCACAGCAGCCGGCUCCCGGAAAGCGUCCUCCUGCUUCUGAGACCGUAGCGCAGGACGGUGCGAGUGCACCUCCUCAAGGCCUGACGCCGCUAAUCCACUUCCUCUCUUCCUCUCCCCACGAUGGGGACACACUUGGCGACAGUUCCAACUGGGGUAAGAGAGCCACCAAAAGGUCGCUGGCAUGGGCACUCCAGGGACACCAAAGUGGAGUCUGGCAUACCCUGCAAACACCUCGGCUUGUGCGGGGAGCAUUCCUCCUUGAAAUGCUCAUCCACUUCUGGUUACAGCAAUCUUUGAGGGCAGGGAAGGUGGCCAGCAGAAGGCACUGUGGAGCAAGCACGUGGGCCUCGGAAUCCAAGCCUGGGUUCAAAUCCGGGCUGUGGGACGUCCUCACCAAGUCUCGAAUUCCUCCUGUAAAUGAGGGAUGCUGGCGCCUCUCUCGCGUGGGGAAAUAG